RNAcentral lists this ribosomal RNA (603 nucleotides) under uncultured bacterium. RNAcentral describes it as "bacterial SSU rRNA". It matches the Rfam family "Bacterial small subunit ribosomal RNA", at positions 854 to 1455 of the family's 1533-position model. The record is from RNAcentral.
AACGCGUUAAGUAGACCGCCUGGGGAGUACGGUCGCAAGAUUAAAACUCAAAUGAAUUGACGGGGGCCCGCACAAGCGGUGGAGCAUGUGGUUUAAUUCGAUGCAACGCGAAGAACCUUACCUACUCUUGACAUCCAGAGAAGCCAGCGGAGACGCAGGUGUGCCUUCGGGAGCUCUGAGACAGGUGCUGCAUGGCUGUCGUCAGCUCGUGUUGUGAAAUGUUGGGUUAAGUCCCGCAACGAGCGCAACCCUUAUCCUUGUUUGCCAGCGAGUAAUGUCGGGAACUCCAGGGAGACUGCCGGUGAUAAACCGGAGGAAGGUGGGGACGACGUCAAGUCAUCAUGGCCCUUACGAGUAGGGCUACACACGUGCUACAAUGGCGCAUACAGAGGGCGGCAAACUUGCGAGAGUGAGCGAAUCCCAAAAAGUGCGUCGUAGUCCGGAUUGGAGUCUGCAACUCGACUCCAUGAAGUCGGAAUCGCUAGUAAUCGUAGAUCAGAAUGCUACGGUGAAUACGUUCCCGGGCCUUGUACACACCGCCCGUCACACCAUGGGAGUGGGCUGCAAAAGAAGUGGGUAGUUUACCUUUCGGGGAGGACGCUC